AUCAGUACACAAGUACUGAUUACCCACUCGUGCGGCCAGCCAUUCCAACGGUCAGCCGCAUAAGUCCUGUAUGUGCCUGAGCCACUCCGACGGCAGGGCACCCACAUUAGAAAAUACAAGGAG
The submitters of this non-coding RNA (123 nucleotides) gave its source as unclassified sequences. The record is from Rfam.